Long non-coding RNA from Ictalurus punctatus (channel catfish), 766 nucleotides. NCBI's taxonomy places the organism in Eukaryota, Metazoa, Chordata, Actinopteri, Siluriformes, Ictaluridae. The record is from Ensembl.
CACAAAGGUAGGAAAGUUCAAAGUUUGCCAGUGGCAAAUCGAAUUGACUUGCCGUCUCUGCAUGUUAGUCCAGAGUUUUAUUCAGCUGUCAUUGCGCUUGUCAAGGAACUCGAGCGACCAGGAAAGAAUAAGGAAGAAAAGGAGGAACUAAGUAAAGAGGGGAAAAAAAGAUAGCAAUCUGGAAUCGGCACUGUAUAGAGGUACAGAUUAGUAUGUCCUUUCUCCUUUUUCUUCUCUUUGAAAGCAGCCUUUGUGUAUCUCUCUCUCUCUCUCUCUCUCUCUCUCUCUCUCUCUCUCUCUCUGUUCUUCUGCAGUAAUAUGAUCCUCUGAUCCAGGGAUAGACUGAGUCCCACUUUCAACACUCUUCCCUUCAGUCUGAAUGCAGUAUGUGUACCUUGUGCAGGCAGCGCAUAUUAUAACUGCGUGAAAAUCAGCAAUAGGGUUAUUAAAGGUUCCAGAGGGUUCUUGUUUCAAAUCCCAGUGACUGCUAGAUGCUUGCAUUGGAUUCUGCUUCACAUGAAAGUAAGUUAUAAAACAUCUGCCAAAAAAAUACAUGUAAAUGAACAGUCUUUAUAUAUUUCUCAGCUAGGAACAUUUGCAGAAUAGUAUUGUAGUACUGCUAUAAGGGUAUUAUAUGUAAGGGUAGUAUUGUAGUACUGUUAUAAGGGUAUUAUAUAUAAGGGUAGUAUUGUUGUACUGUUAUAAGGGUAUUAUAUGUAAGGGUAUUAUUGUAGUACUGUUAUAAGGGUAUUAUAUGUAAGGGUAG